AUUGAACGCUGGCGGCAUGCCUUACACAUGCAAGUCGAACGGCAGAACGGGAGCUUGCUCCUGGUGGCGAGUGGCGAACGGGUGAGUAAUAUAUCGGAACGUGCCCAAUCGUGGGGGAUAACGUAGAGAAAUUUACGCUAAUACCGCAUACGAUCUAAGGAUGAAAGCGGGGGAUCGCAAGACCUCGCGCGAUUGGAGCG
RNAcentral lists this ribosomal RNA (200 nucleotides) under uncultured bacterium. Its description in RNAcentral is "partial 16S ribosomal RNA". It matches the Rfam family "Bacterial small subunit ribosomal RNA", at positions 30 to 228 of the family's 1533-position model. The record is from RNAcentral.